AGAGUUGAUCCUGGCUCAGGAUGAACGCUAGCGACAGGCUAACACAUGCAAGUCGAGGGGCAGCAUAAAAGUAGCAAUACUUGGUGGCGACCGGCGCACGGGUGAGGUAACGCGUAUGCAACCUACCUAUCAGAGGGGAAUAACCCGGCGAAAGUCGGACUAAUACCGCAUAAAACAGGGGCACCGCAUGGUGAUAUUUGUUAAAGAAAUUCGCUGAUAGAUGGGCAUGCGUUCCAUUAGGUAGUUGGUGAGGUAACGGCUCACCAAGCCGACGAUGGAUAGGGGAACUGAGAGGUUGGUCCCCCACACUGGUACUGAGACACGGACCAGACUCCUACGGGAGGCAGCAGUGAGGAAUAUUGGUCAAUGGGCGGGAGCCUGAACCAGCCAAGUCGCGUGAAGGAAGAAGGAUCUAUGGUUCGUAAACUUCUUUUGCAGGGGAAUAAAGUGCAGGACGUGUCCUGUUUUGUAUGUACCCUGAGAAUAAGGAUCGGCUAACUCCGUGCCAGCCGCAGC
Molecule: ribosomal RNA, 516 nt
Filed under: uncultured bacterium
Lineage: Bacteria
Description: bacterial SSU rRNA
Rfam family: Bacterial small subunit ribosomal RNA
Source: RNAcentral